RNAcentral lists this transfer RNA (67 nucleotides) under Macrotermes yunnanensis. Its description in RNAcentral is "tRNA-His". It matches the Rfam family "tRNA". Rfam says of the family: Transfer RNA (tRNA) molecules are approximately 80 nucleotides in length. Their secondary structure includes four short double-helical elements and three loops (D, anti-codon, and T loops). Further hydrogen bonds mediate the characteristic L-shaped molecular structure. tRNAs have two regions of fundamental functional importance: the anti-codon, which is responsible for specific mRNA codon recognition, and the 3' end, to which the tRNAs corresponding amino acid is attached (by aminoacyl-tRNA synthetases). tRNAs cope with the degeneracy of the genetic code in two manners: having more than one tRNA (with a specific anti-codon) for a particular amino acid; and 'wobble' base-pairing, i.e. permitting non-standard base-pairing at the 3rd anti-codon position. The record is from RNAcentral. Lineage: Eukaryota; Metazoa; Arthropoda; Insecta; Blattodea; Termitidae.
AUCUAAAUAGUUUAAGGGUAAAAUGUUGGUUUGUGGUGCCAGUGAUAUAUGUAUAUUAUUUUAGAUU